CAGCACCUCAAGUGGUCAGGAUGAUUAUUGGGCCUAAAGCAUCCGUAGCCUGCUUUGUAAGUUUUCGGUUAAAUCCAUACGCUCAACGUAUGGGCUGCCGGGAAUACUGCAAAGCUAGGGAGUGGGAGAGGUAGACGGUACUCGGUAGGAAGGGGUAAAAUCCUUUGAUCUAUUGAUGACCACCUGUGGCGAAGGCGGUCUACCAGAACACGUCCGACGGUGAGGGAUGAAAGCUGGGGGAGCAAACCGGAUUAGAUACCCGGGUAGUCCCAGCUGUAAACUAUGCAAACUCGGUGAUGCAUUGGCUUGAUGCCCAAUGCAGUGCCGCAGGGAAGCCGUUAAGUUUGCCGCCUGGGAAGUACGUACGCAAGUAUG
RNAcentral lists this ribosomal RNA (375 nucleotides) under uncultured organism. RNAcentral's name for it is "partial 16S ribosomal RNA". It matches the Rfam family "Archaeal small subunit ribosomal RNA", at positions 477 to 851 of the family's 1478-position model. The record is from RNAcentral.